Molecule: ribosomal RNA, 493 nt
Filed under: uncultured bacterium
Lineage: Bacteria
Description: partial 16S ribosomal RNA
Rfam family: Bacterial small subunit ribosomal RNA
Source: RNAcentral
AUUGAACGCUGGCGGCAUGCUUUACACAUGCAAGUCGAACGGUAACAGGUUAAGCUGACGAGUGGCGAACGGGUGAGUAAUGCAUCGGAACGUGCCUGGUCGUGGGGGAUAACGCAGCGAAAGCUGCGCUAAUACCGCAUACGAUCUGAGGAUGAAAGCGGGGGACCGUAAGGCCUCGCGCGAUCGGAGCGGCCGAUGUCAGAUUAGGUAGUUGGUGGGGUAAAGGCUCACCAAGCCAACGAUCUGUAGCUGGUCUGAGAGGACGAUCAGCCACACUGGGACUGAGACAAGGCCCAGACUCCUACGGGAGGCAGCAGUGGGGAAUUUUGGACAAUGGGCGAAAGCCUGAUCCAGCAAUGCCGCGUGCAGGAAGAAGGCCUUCGGGUUGUAAACUGCUUUUGUACGGAGCGAAAAGGUCUCCUCUAAUACAGGGGGCUCAUGACGGUACCGUAAGAAUAAGCACCGGCUAACUACGUGCCAGCCGCCGCGGUAA